CCCAAAAUCUAGCCCCCUCUCCCUCCCCCUUUUUAACCAUCAAAACAAAAUAUUUUAACAACCUAGUAAAGAAGAUUAAAAAAUUUCUAAGAGCAAUAACCAUGUACCGCAAGGGAAAAAUGAAAUAGUAGUGAAAUAAAUAUUAAGCAACAAAAAGUAGAGACAUUUACUCGUACCUUUUGCAUCAUGGUUUAGCUAGUUUAAUUAGGCAAAAAGACCUUAAGUCUAACUUCCCGAAACUUAGUGAGCUAUCCCAGGGCCGCUUAACGAGCCCACCCGUCUAUGUGUCAAAAUAGUGGGGAGACCCUAGGAUAGAGGUGAUAAACCUAACGAACUUAGUGAUAGCUGGUUUCUCAAUAAAAGAAUUUUAGUCCAACCCAAAGUAAUAAAAAUAAUCUAAAUAUAUCUUUCACUUUGGAGCAAUUCAAAUAAGGUACAGCCUAUUUGAUACAGGAUUCAACCUUAACCAAAGGGUAACAUAAACACCUCUUUCACAAGUAGGCCUAACAGCAGCCACCUUUCAAAAAGCGUCAAAGCUUAACUGAACUUAUUAAUCCCUCAACUCUCAUGUAUCCCUUCAUCUCUACUGAGAAAUUCUAUACAACUAUAGAACCUUUUAUGCUAAAACUAGUAACAAGAGACCAACCUCUCUAAAAUGUAAAUAUAAGCCAGCAAGAAUACCUCACUGGCAAUUAACAAGCCCAAAUAGUAACUUUACAAGAAAACUCUAUUUUUUAAACUGUUGACCUAACACCAGAACAUUUCUAGAAAGAUUAAAAGAAAAAGAAGGAACUCGGCAAAUACUAGACCCGCCUGUUUACCAAAAACAUCGCCUCUUGCCCAUCAUAAGAGGUCCAGCCUGCCCAGUGACUCUUGUUUAACGGCCGCGGUAUCCUAACCGUGCAAAGGUAGCGUAAUCACUUGUCUUCUAAAUAAAGACUAGUAUGAAAGGCAUCACGAGGACUAACCUGUCUCCUCUUUCUAAUCAGUGAACCUAAUCUUCCUGUGAAAAAGCAGGAAUUUUUUUAUAAGACGAGAAGACCCCAUGGAGCUUAAAACAUCAUAACAUCUGCUUUUCUCCUAAACUACUCUGGUACCUAAAUUCUACAGCAUUCUGAUUAUAUGUUUUUGGUUGGGGUGACCACGGAGAAAAAAAAAUCCUCCAUAAUGAAAGAGCCCUCCCCUCUAAACAAUAAGCCACAACUUUAUGAAUCAACAAAUUGACAACCACGACCCAAUAUUUUGAUUAAUGAACCAAGUUACCCUAGGGAUAACAGCGCAAUCCACUUUGAGAGCCCCUAUCGACAAGUGGGCUUACGACCUCGAUGUUGGAUCAGGGUUUCCCAGAGGUGUAGUCGCUUCUUAAGGUUCGUUUGUUCAA
This 1381-nucleotide ribosomal RNA is filed under the name Pristimantis rozei (Roze's robber frog). RNAcentral's name for it is "partial 16S ribosomal RNA". It matches the Rfam family "Bacterial large subunit ribosomal RNA", at positions 372 to 2584 of the family's 2925-position model. The record is from RNAcentral. Lineage: Eukaryota; Metazoa; Chordata; Amphibia; Anura; Strabomantidae.